RNAcentral lists this ribosomal RNA (1198 nucleotides) under uncultured marine diplonemid. RNAcentral describes it as "bacterial SSU rRNA". It matches the Rfam family "Eukaryotic small subunit ribosomal RNA", at positions 570 to 1574 of the family's 1831-position model. The record is from RNAcentral. Lineage: Eukaryota; Euglenozoa; Diplonemea.
GCACCCGCGGUAAUUCCAGCACCAAUAGCGUAUAUUAAUGCUGCUGCUGUUAAAAAGCUCGUAGUUGGAUCAAGAGUUCGACAGUGCAAGGUGGCCUCGCUUGUUCAGUUGGCUCCGGUCAUCUGUGCGGCGGCGGAUCAACCCCUUGCGCCAAACUGUCGUCUCUAACAGACCGAAGCGGUUCCCUGUGAGUAGGCCACUUAAUUGGGGCUGAAAGCGUUUACGCAUCAACCACAUGCAUACGGGACGUCGGUCAAAGUUACUGUGAACAAACCAGCGUGUCCAAAACAGGCUUUGCCUGAAUGUUCGAGCAUGGAAUAACAAGGGAUCGAUUCUCUCGGUUCUUUUUGUUGGUUUUUAACCCGAGAAGGAGUAAUUCAGGCCAAGGUGUCUGGGCUGGGUUCCCCUCACCUUCGGGUGAGGCCCCAGUUAGGCCUUGUCCUUACGGGAUAAAUAGGGACUGACGGGGUCGUACGUACUUCCACGUCAGAGGUGAAAUUCUUAGAUCGUGGGAAGACGAACUUCUGCGAAAGCAUUCGACAAGAAUGUCUUCAUUAAUCAAGAACGAGAGUGUGGGGAUCGAAGAUGAUCAGAUACCGUCGUAGUCCACUACUGUAAACAAUGCCGUCUCAGGAUUGAGAAGUGAACCUAAUGACUUUCACAGCACUAACCCCUGAAACGAGAAAUCAAAGAUUAUGGGUUCAGGGGGGAGUACAUUCGCAAGGCUGAAACUUAAAGGAAUUGACGGAAUGACACCACAAGGCGUGGAGUAUGCGGCUUAAUUUGACUCAACACGGGGAAUUUUACUAGGUCAGGACAAUGUAAGGAUUGACAGAUUGAGAGCUCUUUCUCGAUCCAUUGUGUGGUGGUGCAUGGCCGCUCCUGGUUGGUGGAGUGAUUUGUCUGGUUGAUUCCGUUAACGAACGAGAUCUCGACCCUUAAAUAGGUGCCCGUGUCGAUUGUAGUCUUGCCUCUGCCUGCUUGCAGGAUCUGAGCAGGACGAGACUGCGGGAAUACUUCUUAAGGGGACUGUGUGCGUCUCUAGCACGCGGAAGAGCGAGCCAAUAGCAGGUCUGUGAUGCUCCUAAAUGUCCUAGGCUGCACGCGCACUACACUGAUGCAAUAAACGAGUCUGAGUGCCUUCUGGCACCCUGCCUGGAAGCGGGUGGGAAAUCUUUUGAACUUGCAUCGUGAUGAG